This 433-nucleotide long non-coding RNA is filed under the name Cyanistes caeruleus (blue tit). Its description in RNAcentral is "lncRNA (ENSCCEG00000019208.1)". The record is from RNAcentral. Lineage: Eukaryota; Metazoa; Chordata; Aves; Passeriformes; Paridae.
CCUGUCUCCCUUCCUCCUCUGUUUCCAAGAUGUCAGUUACUGACAUACUCUGGCAGUGAUAUCACUGUUGCUCAAACAUGAGUGAAGAAUCUCUGAGCACGUGGCACUGUUGUGAGCCUGAGCAGCAGCGCUGAUGUGCCUGUUGCAGAGACACCAGGCAGCAGGGACAGCUGUAUGGCAGAGAGUACCUCCAUACAGCCAGGCCUUCAAGUCAGCCCAGGGGACCAAUGGCUGGGGAGGCUGCUCCUCCAGAAAAGUGUUGAUGGGCUCAAGAAGCAGUAAAUGCGUGUGGAGAAACAUUUUGGAAGUCUGGAAGACUUCUGGAUCAUUACUGCUUCUGACUUCCUCUCUCUGUCAGCAAAGAGUUAUCACAGGUCAGCUGCAGAGUGGAAAGUGUGGGGCAACAGGGAAGCAAGCUAACACUAUCUCCUGA